CAGGAUUUAGUUUAUUUAAAAUAUAUAUUUUACAUUUAUAAGAUGAUUUUUUCUUUCCUUAU
Molecule: transfer RNA, 62 nt
Filed under: Olidiana tongmaiensis
Lineage: Eukaryota; Metazoa; Arthropoda; Insecta; Hemiptera; Cicadellidae
Description: tRNA-Val
Source: RNAcentral